Molecule: ribosomal RNA, 445 nt
Filed under: uncultured bacterium
Lineage: Bacteria
Description: partial 16S ribosomal RNA
Rfam family: Bacterial small subunit ribosomal RNA
Source: RNAcentral
GUGAGGAAUAUUGCGCAAUGGAGGCAACUCUGACGCAGCCAUGCCGCGUGCAGGAAGAAGGCGCUACGCGUUGUAAACUGCUUUUAACCGGGAAGAAACCCCAGGACGUGUCCUGGGUUGACGGUACCGGAGGAAUAAGCACCGGCUAACUUCGUGCCAGCAGCCGCGGUAAUACGAAGGGUGCAAGCGUUAUCCGGAUUCAUUGGGUUUAAAGGGUGCGUAGGCGGAGCGUUAAGUCAGUGGUGAAAUCCUGCAGCUUAAAUGUAGACGUGCCAUUGAUACUGGCGCUCUUGAGUGCGCUUGAAGUGGGCGGAAUGUGCCGUGUAGCGGUGAAAUGCUUAGAUAUGGCACAGAACACCAAUUGCGAAGGCAGCUCACUAAGGCGAUACUGACGCUGAGGCACGAAAGCGUGGGGAUCGAACAGGAUUAGAAACCCCUGUAGUCC